GCGCCCUUAGCUCAAUUGGACAGAGCAGCAGACUUCGGAUCUGCUGGUUGGGGGUUCGAGUCCCUCAGGGCGCACCA
RNAcentral lists this transfer RNA (77 nucleotides) under Acidobacteriota bacterium. RNAcentral's name for it is "Acidobacteria bacterium tRNA-Arg". It matches the Rfam family "tRNA". Rfam says of the family: Transfer RNA (tRNA) molecules are approximately 80 nucleotides in length. Their secondary structure includes four short double-helical elements and three loops (D, anti-codon, and T loops). Further hydrogen bonds mediate the characteristic L-shaped molecular structure. tRNAs have two regions of fundamental functional importance: the anti-codon, which is responsible for specific mRNA codon recognition, and the 3' end, to which the tRNAs corresponding amino acid is attached (by aminoacyl-tRNA synthetases). tRNAs cope with the degeneracy of the genetic code in two manners: having more than one tRNA (with a specific anti-codon) for a particular amino acid; and 'wobble' base-pairing, i.e. permitting non-standard base-pairing at the 3rd anti-codon position. The record is from RNAcentral. RNAcentral also lists the same sequence under 2 other names. Lineage: Bacteria; Pseudomonadati; Acidobacteriota.